This 699-nucleotide ribosomal RNA is filed under the name uncultured bacterium. RNAcentral's name for it is "bacterial SSU rRNA". It matches the Rfam family "Bacterial small subunit ribosomal RNA", at positions 800 to 1498 of the family's 1533-position model. The record is from RNAcentral.
CCGUAAACGAUGUCUACUAGCCGUUGGGAGACUUGAUUUCUUAGUGGCGCAGCUAACGCAAUAAGUAGACCGCCUGGGGAGUACGGCCGCAAGGUUAAAACUCAAAUGAAUUGACGGGGGCCCGCACAAGCGGUGGAGCAUGUGGUUUAAUUCGAUGCAACGCGAAGAACCUUACCAGGUCUUGACAUCCUGAGAAUUUUCUAGAGAUAGAUUAGUGCCUUCGGGAACGCAGUGACAGGUGCUGCAUGGCUGUCGUCAGCUCGUGUCGUGAGAUGUUGGGUUAAGUCCCGUAACGAGCGCAACCCUUGUCCUUAGUUGCCAGCACAUAAUGGUGGGAACUCUAAGGAGACUGCCGGUGACAAACCGGAGGAAGGUGGGGACGACGUCAAGUCAUCAUGGCCCUUACGACCUGGGCUACACACGUGCUACAAUGGAACGCACAGAGGGCUGCAAAGGCGCGAGCUGGAGCGAAUCCCACAAAACGUUUCGUAGUCCGGAUUGGAGUCUGCAACUCGACUCCAUGAAGUCGGAAUCGCUAGUAAUCGUGAAUCAGAAUGUCACGGUGAAUACGUUCCCGGGCCUUGUACACACCGCCCGUCACACCAUGGGAGUGGGUUGCAAAAGAAGUGGGUAGACUAACCUUCGGGAGGUCGCUCACCACUUUGUGAUUCAUGACUGGGGUGAAGUCGUAACAAGGUA